RNAcentral lists this ribosomal RNA (253 nucleotides) under uncultured bacterium. Its description in RNAcentral is "partial 16S ribosomal RNA". It matches the Rfam family "Bacterial small subunit ribosomal RNA", at positions 524 to 776 of the family's 1533-position model. The record is from RNAcentral.
GACAGAGGGUGCAAACGUUGCUCGGAAUCACUGGGCAUAAAGCGCACGUAGGCGGUCCACUAAGUUCGAUGUGAAAUCCCCCGGCUCAACCGGGGAACUGCAUCGGAUACUGGUGGACUCGAGAGUUGUAGGGGUGGACGGAACUCCAGGUGGAGCGGUGAAAUGCGUAGAUAUCUGGAGGAACACCGGAGGCGAAAGCGGUCCACUGGGCAACUUCUGACGCUGAGGUGCGAAAGCUAGGGUAGCAAACGGG